This is a non-coding RNA of Arachis ipaensis, 1284 nucleotides long. The record is from RefSeq and is a predicted model, not a curated record. Lineage: Eukaryota; Viridiplantae; Streptophyta; Magnoliopsida; Fabales; Fabaceae.
UACUAAAAUCAUCUUUUUUUAUCCUCAGGCAUUCCCUGAAUCAUUGUUUCAUCAACUACUCCUGGCUAUGGUCCAUCAAGAUCAUGAGACACAAGCAACGGCUCACCGUGUCUUUUCGAUAGUUCUUGUGCCUAUCUCAGUUUCCCCUCGGGCAGGCAUGCUUGCUUCCAAUAAGGCAUCGGAUGUUCCAAGAACACUCUCUAGAGCAGUCUCUGUCUUUUCUUCUUCAGCUGCCUUGUUUGAGAAGCUAAAAUCAGAGAAACGUUCUUCAAAUGAAAAUUUAAGUUAAUAUAACAAGGAAAAUAAUGCUGGAGAGACUAAACCAACUAAUGGCGUUGGCGGGUUCCUAAGCAGAUUGAAGUCGACUAAUAAUCGUGUGCAUCAUGGGAGUGAGAGUCAGCUAGCUAUAGUGGAUGAAAAUAGUACAGAUGAUGACAAUGGAAAUUUGGUGAGUCUUGCAUUGAUGAGUAUGUGUGUUUGAAUUUAGUCCUGCAUUUUAAACAAACUUCAAGUAUCUCGAGUAUGUUAACUGUAAUCUGGUUUAUAAUCAUGGUUACUUGAUUAUCUUCUUUUCACCUGAAUGCAGGAAAUUGCAGCUCUUAGGUUAAGUAGUCUUUAGAUAAAUCAAUUGCUAUCAUUAAUUUGGGUUCAGUCUAUCUCUCUUACAAAUUUGCCUGAAAAUUAUGAAGCCAUUGCUCAUACAUACAGCUUGGUGUUGCUUUUAUCUAGAGCUAAGAAUUCUUUUCAGGAAGUCCUAGUUCGGAGUUUUCAGCUUGCUUUUUCUUUGUGAAAAAUUUCUCUUAAAGAAGGGUCAUUGAUACUAUCUUGACGGAGAUCACUCUUUACUUUAGCACUUUCGAUGAUUUUGUUUUCUUCAAAAGCCUACAAAAUCAAUCUCUUGUUCAGAGUGCCAAGGAAACACAUACAAAAAAACAGAUUAAUCCCUUCCUUCGUUUAGUUGAUGAUCAUAAGCUGCAAGUUUUCAGCACUGCAUGUGAUGGUUCGACCAUUGCCUAUGAAUCGAAAGAAGAUGAUUACAGGGCCUCAAAUUUGCUUCCAGAGUUAAUGACUCUUACACAGAAAAUACAGGAAUUCUUUGUUUCUGAAAUCAUCCAGUACCUGGAAGUGUUGGAAGAGGCUAAUAAUGCUAAAAGCGAGCCUACUACCCCCCUUUGAUGCUAGGAAAUCAAUUGGUGAUAGCAACGGACAUUCGAGGACAAAUAUUUGAGACUUUUAUGUAAUUAGAUCAUAUUGAAAUAUUAAAGUUGUUGUUUUAUUUUAUUU